RNAcentral lists this long non-coding RNA (4474 nucleotides) under Sus scrofa (pig). RNAcentral's name for it is "lncRNA (ENSSSCG00060053250.1)". The record is from RNAcentral. Lineage: Eukaryota; Metazoa; Chordata; Mammalia; Artiodactyla; Suidae.
CAUUUUAUUACCAGUCUUCACUUGUCCUUCUCCAAGAGUAACCAUUAUCCUAACACCAUAGAUUUUAUGUUUAUUAUAUAUAUGUAUAUUAUGUGUAAAAUAUAUGCAUUUAUAAGUGGCUCUUAAGUAUAAGAAAAUAUGUUCAACUCUACAUAUAAGAAAUAUUAAAAAUUAAAAUUACACUAAGAUACCAUUUCUCACUUAUCAGAUAAAAAAUUUAAAAGAUUGGCAGUGUAUUCUGUUGGGAAGAUGUGGAAUAACAGACACUUUUAUAUAUUACUCAUAGGAAUGCAAAUGGAUACAAAACUUAUGGAGGGAUACUUGGCAAUACCUAAUAAAGCAACAUACGCCCUUACCUUCUGACUUAAAAAUUUCAUUUCUUGGCAUUAUAUUGAAAUUUUAUCUCCAAUUAUAUGAAAAUUAAUAUGCACGGUUAUAGUCAUUGCAGCAUUAUGGAUUGCACAAUAUUGGAAACAGUACAAAUUUUUAUUUAUAGGAGAUUGUUUAAAUAAACAAUGGUACUUCCAUACCAUGAAGUACUUUGGAAGUUUAAAAGGAAAAAAUCUGUAAGGUUGUUAUGGAGUGAUUUGCAGUAUUUAUUGUUUACUGAAAGAAGCAAAGUCAAAAUCAUUAGUAGUAUAUAGUAUGCUAUCUUUUGUGUACGAAAGGAGGUACAAGAAAAUAUAUGUUCAUCUGUUUAUUUUUACGAAAAAAGAAACAAAAGAAGGAAAAGCCAAGAAAUCAAUAAGAUUGAUUGGGAAUGAGUAGGAAUGAAGGACUGAGGAUGAGAGAGGGACUCAUCUCCAAAUAUUAUUUCAUAUAAUUUUGACUUUUGUAACCAUGCUAAUAUUUUAUAUACUCAACGGAAACCCACAAAGUAAAGUGAAGCCAGUAAGAAAGAGGGGAAUCUAAAAAAAUGAAUACAAACAAAAAAAGUGAAACUAAGUAAUUUCAAAUGAAAAAUAGAACCACAUUGCAGGUGAAGGACAAUGAGGCUACUUAACUUCUGGACACAGUAUUUAAAAACUUAAAAUAAAUGCCAAAGGGACUGUAAACAGCUAUUGAAUUCUAGUCAGUAGGAUUGUCUUUUGCAGUGUUGCAGGUUGGCAAUCUGUUACUACUUUAUGCAAACAGGUGUAUACCCUGAAGCUAAAAGAAAUCCAGCCUUUCACCAUUGUUGAUAGGAGUAUCACUAUGCGCUGGAGGAAUAUUAGCAUGAAGCCAGUGAUUUUGGAUUCGGAUUUGAGCUAUAAGUAUGAAUUUGUGGCUUGUUCCAUAUCUAUCUAUCAUCCACCUACCCACCUACCUACCUACCUAUCAUCUUUAUAUACCUACCAAGUCGUGUGGAUGUGUAUAUAUACAAAAGCACAUAUAUCCAUUUUCUAGCUCUGUGUACUGAGGGCAUAGGAACAAUACUCCUGUAUCAAUGAGUACACUUAAUACCCAAAUCUCUGUUUCUAAAUAAUAUCUUCACUAAAAGGAACCAGGGUUGGAAUUCCUGCUGUGGAACAGUGGGUUAAGGGUCCGGCAUUCUCAUUGCAGUGACUUGGGUUGCUGCUGUGGAGCAGGUUCAGUCCCCGGCCUGGGAAAUUACACAUGGGGGUGCUGCCAAAAAAGGGAUGUGGGGAACCAGGGCUCCUUGGAAAAGAAAGAAGGGCUGGAUCAGAGAAAGUAUAAAAUGAAUCUGGGAUAUCAUCUUAUGACAAAAAUUAAUGAAUGUUCAAAAAUCAAAGACCAUGUCAAAAUGCUACAUGAACCAGUUUUAAAGGCCCAACUGAUCAAAUUUGGGGCAUUUUAAGUGUAAAAGUAAAUAAUAAUAAUGGAUUAUAAUCUGUAGGAUAAAAUAAGGUUCUAUAAGUCUAUUCUGAUGUAAAUAAAUGAGUAAAUUAGACAUAAAUAGAGGAGAAGAAAAAUCCUUUCCUUAGAAUAGAAUACCAAAAAACAUAUAGAGGGAAUGAAGGAGUAAAAACUCACUAUUUGGUAACCAUCACAGUAGGAGUUUGUUUUUUACUGGUGUGAAAAGACCAACAUUUAUUAUGCUUAUAAUUCUGUGGGUCAGAAAUUCAAGCAGAGCACAACAAGGAUGGUUCACCCCUACUCCACCAAGUCUGGGGCUUCAGCUGAGGUGGCUCAAAAGGCUAGGGAUGUUUAGAAUGGCUUGACUGGGACCAUAUGUCUGGGACUGUAGUUUUUCUGUGCAUGGCAUCUGCUGGGGCUAUAAUGCCCAAGAUGGCAGCUUCACUUGAAUGUCACUAGAAUAGCCAGGCUUUGCUGAUAUCUUCACUCUACUGGGCAUUCUCAGGACAAUUAGGCUUCUUACAAAGCAAGAAGUAAUAACUAGUUCCCAAGACCCAGGAAGAAGCUGUAAAACUUCUUACAACUUAGCCUCAUAAGUCCAAAAGCACUUCUGCAACAUUCUGUUGAUCAGGAAAGUCAGUUAAGAUCGACUCAGCUCAGAUUCAAGGAGAGGGCAAGAAUAGACUUAGCUUCCUGAUUGGGGGAUGGAAUGGACACACAAGUGAACUGAUGGCGCUACCUUGGAGACAAGUUACAACAGUGAAUAACAUUCCUUAACUUGAUUUUCCACUAGCUUUCAGUCUUGGAGAGCUACCCAAAUUAGUCUAUAUAGUUCAUCUUCAUUUUUUCUCUUUGUUGCAUAAUAUCUACCAACACUAUGCCAUAAUCUAUUAGACAUUUUCUCCUUUAGGGAUAUAUAGGUGGUUUCUAUUGUCCUUUUUAAAAAAUUGUACUUGAAUAUGUUUAUUUUUGGUUAUGUUUCAAUAUUUCAAAGGUUAAUAUUGAGACAUGGAAUGAUAUUUUGGAGUUAAUUAAAAUUUUUUUAAAUUUAUUUUUUAUUAGGGUAUUGUUGAUUUACAGUGUUGAGUCAAUCUCUGCUAUAGCAUCACAGUAUAUGACCAUAUUCAAUAGAUACUAUCCACAGUUUGCCCUCUCCCCUGGCUCAUCUAGUUUAUAUUUCCCUAUGAGUGCACAGGGGUACCAAUUUCACUGGUAAUACAUGAUACUGUCAAACUUUUAAGUGUGUACAAUAGAAAAAAAAAAUAAAAGGGAAAAAAAGUAAAGUUUGAAAAUCACUAUCCCGAGCACAGAUCUGAAAUUCAUGAAAAUGGUGAGGAGAAUGAAUGGAGUAAUAUACCACUCUCUGGUUUGCUAUGGGAAGCAGUAUAGAACCACAUAGUCAUAGAAUCAGAGCUAGACGCAUCUCAGAGAUCACUUAAUCUAGUGGUUCUUAACCUAUUUGGCAUUAGCAUCACCUUGAGAAAUUCAUCCAGGCCAAUUAAGUCUGAAUCUCUGGAGGCUGGUUCAGAUAUCAGCAUUUGUAAAUAACUAUGUUGUGUAUCUUGCAGUAAGAGUCAAGAACCACUAGCCUAAAUCAAAUCUCUUACAUUACAGAAAAGGAAACUCAGGCCAUGUGAGUUUACCUCAUUUGUCUCACAGACUUCUGCUGGCCAAGAACUUAUCUGCCCUGAUCACAUGUUCAGUGUUAUCUCUAUUAUUUAAUAGUUUCUCUAGAAGGGCUGCUAUGGUUGGAAAACAUUAAAAUGCUAGAAAUGCUUACUUUGAGAGUAAAGUAUUUUCCUAAUGUUGGUAAAUGUUCUUUUCGAAAACUAACUCUGUAUUUAAUAUCUGUAUUUCUGUAAGGACAAAAAGGAAAAGCUGCCAGAACUCUGACUAUAGCAGUAUGACUAGCAGGAAACACAGCUAUAAUUACACAUAAACCUCUUUCCAUUAUCUCUUUUUUCCUCAAGUGAUUUUAAAAACUAAUCAUUACACAUCUCUGCAUGAGUAACCAAUCAGGACCUGAAUAUUUGUAUUUCUUUUUAACAGCAUCAAACUAGUAUGUACUCAGAACAACCAUGUUAAUAUUUCAUUCAGGUUGAGUUACCAGUGAAUGCUAAAACUAUUGUGUGACAGUUUGGUGAGGUGCAAGAUAGCCACACCAUCUUAAUGUACCUUUCCACAAAUUUCCAGGAGAAAAAUAACAACCUAUAGGGGAGACACUUGAUAGAAACUGCCUAAUGACAUGAGCAGUUACCAUCACCAUUGUGAAAGUUAAUAAACAGAAACCUCAUUUAAAAUGGAGUCAGGAGGCCAGAAGGAGGCGCUCUCAUGCCCUACCACAGGAUGUCAAAUGCAGAUCCAGCAGAAAGAGAUGUACCUUUGCAUCUCAGUCAGGAAGAAGGUUAUUCCUUUACCUUCCAGCAGGAAGACGGAAGAUUUCUCCUGGCCUAGCAACAGCCCAGCCAGUGACAGACUGUCACAACUCAGCCAGUGAAAAGCUACUACAGUUUCAACCGUUUCCUCCAAUGGACUCUGUUUAUAACAGCCCCAUCCUAACUCUCCUUCUUCCCUAUAAAAGAAUGUUCCUUGCCUUUGUUCUCUGGACAUGUCUGUGAUUUGCUGUAUGUCCCAAAUUGCAAUUGUUUGCUGUACCUCAAUAAACUCAUUUUGCUGG